GAUGAACGCUGGCGGCGUGCUUAACACAUGCAAGUCGAACGGAAAGGCCCAAGCUUGCUUGGGUACUCGAGUGGCGAACGGGGGAGUAACACGUGGGUGAUCUGCCCUGCACUUCGGGAUAAGCCUGGGAAACUGGGUCGAAUACCGGAUAGGACCACAUUUUGGAUGGUGUGGUGGAAAGUUUUUCGGUGUGGGAUGAGCUCGCGGCCGAUCAGCUUGUUGGUGGGGUAAUGGCCUACCAAGGCGUCGACGGGUAGCCGGCCUGAGAGGGUGUACGGCCACAUUGGGACUGAGAUACGGCCCAGACUCCUACGGGAGGCAGCAGUGGGGAAUAUUGCACAAUGGGCGCAAGCCUGAUGCAGCGACGCCGCGUGGGGGAUGACGGCCUUCGGGUUGUAAACUCCUUUCGCUAGGGACGAAGCGUUAUGUGACGGUACCUGGAGAAGAAGCACCGGCUAACUACGUG
Molecule: ribosomal RNA, 466 nt
Filed under: uncultured bacterium
Lineage: Bacteria
Description: partial 16S ribosomal RNA
Rfam family: Bacterial small subunit ribosomal RNA
Source: RNAcentral